UCAUCUGGAAGGAGAGGUCGUCCAAAAGGCGGCGCGAGUAUGCUUCGCGUCUUCCGCUCCAGGAUGGGGCUGCGGCCGAUCAGGCUGUUGGCGGGGUAAUGGCCCACCAAACCUGUAACCGGUACGGGCUUUGAGAGAAGGAGCCCGGAGAUGGACACUGAGACAAGGGUCCAGGCCCUACGGGGCGCAUCAGGCGCGAGAACUUCGCAAUGCGCGAAAGCGUGACGAGGCUAGUCCGAGUGCCUUCCGCUGAGGAGGGCUUUUCUCGGCUGUAAAUAGGCCGGGGAAUAAGGGGAGGGCAAGUCUGGUGUCAGCCGCCGCGGUAAUACCAGCUCCUCGAGUGGUCGGGACGAUUAUUGGGCCUAAAGCACCCGUAGCCUGUUCAUUAAGUCCUCUGUUAAAUCCAACCGCUCAACGGUCGGCACGCAGAGGAUACUGCUGGACUAGGAGGCGGGAGAGGCGGACGGUACUCCGCGUGUAGGGGUAAAAUCCUUUGAUCCGCGGAAGACCACCAGUGGCGAAGGCGGUCCGCCAGAACGCGCUCGACGGUGAGGGGUGAAAGCUGGGGGAGCGAACCGGAUUAGAUACCCGGGUAGUCCCAGCCGUAAACGAUGCGAGCUAGAUGAUUCGAUUGCAGUUCGCAAUCGAAGUGUCGCAGGGAAGCCGUUAAGCUCGCCGCCUGGGGAGUACGGUCGCAAGGCUGAAUUGUCGGCGAUGUCUUUCGCCGGCACAGUUCACUUAAAGGAAUUGGCGGGGGAGCAC
This 762-nucleotide ribosomal RNA is filed under the name uncultured archaeon. Its description in RNAcentral is "bacterial SSU rRNA". It matches the Rfam family "Archaeal small subunit ribosomal RNA", at positions 166 to 879 of the family's 1478-position model. The record is from RNAcentral.